UUUUUCAGUAAAAAAGUGAGAACCGAUUCAUGUUUUGAACUUGUCUUGCUGAAAUGUGUUGUGGGCAUGUGAUGAAUCUCAUUUUUAUGGGUAAUAUGCGUCUGAAUUAGUAUAUCUUUGAUGCUUAAUCACCUUGGAGAACUGAUGCCCUGUUU
Long non-coding RNA from Hibiscus syriacus, 155 nucleotides. RefSeq lists it as uncharacterized. NCBI's taxonomy places the organism in Eukaryota, Viridiplantae, Streptophyta, Magnoliopsida, Malvales, Malvaceae. The record is from RefSeq and is a predicted model, not a curated record. The transcript has 3 exons.